This is a non-coding RNA of Schistosoma mattheei, 45 nucleotides long. The record is from Rfam. Lineage: Eukaryota; Metazoa; Platyhelminthes; Trematoda; Strigeidida; Schistosomatidae.
AUUCAACUGACGAGUCCCAAACAGGACGAAACCCUCAUCCUACAU